RNAcentral lists this ribosomal RNA (279 nucleotides) under uncultured bacterium. RNAcentral describes it as "partial 16S ribosomal RNA". It matches the Rfam family "Bacterial small subunit ribosomal RNA", at positions 506 to 784 of the family's 1533-position model. The record is from RNAcentral.
UGCCAGCCGCCGCGGUAAUACGGAGGGGGUUAGCGUUGCUCGGAAUCAUUGGGCGUAAAGCGCACGUAGGCGGUCCGGUAAGUCGGAUGUGAAAGCCCUAGGCUUAACCAAGGAAGUGCAUUCGAAACUGCCAGACUUGAAUAUGGGAGAGGAUCGCGGAAUUCUCGGUGAAGAGGUGAAAUUCGUAGAUAUCGGGAGGAACACCAGUGGCGAAGGCGGCGGUCUGGACCAAUAUUGACGCUGAGGUGCGAAAGCGUGGGGAGCAAACAGGAUUAGAUC